CAAUAGCGUAUAUUAAAGUUGUUGCGGUUAAAAAGCUCGUAGUUGGAUUUCUGCCGAGGACGACCGGUCCGCCCUCUGGGUGAGUAUCUGGCUCGGCCUGGGCAUCUUCUUGGAGAACGUAGCUGCACUUGACUGUGUGGUGCGGUAUCCAGGACUUUUACUUUGAGGAAAUUAGAGUGUUUCAAGCAGGCUUACGCCUUGAAUACAUUAGCAUGGAAUAAUAAGAUAGGACCUCGGUUCUAUUUUGUCGGUUUCUAGAGCUGAGGUAAUGAUUAAUAGGGAUAGUUGGGGGCAUUCGUAUUUAACUGUCAGAGGUGAAAUUCUUGGAUUUUUGGAAGACGAACUACUGCGAAAGCAUUUACCAAGGAUGUUUUCAUUAA
RNAcentral lists this ribosomal RNA (380 nucleotides) under uncultured eukaryote. Its description in RNAcentral is "partial 18S ribosomal RNA". It matches the Rfam family "Eukaryotic small subunit ribosomal RNA", at positions 592 to 976 of the family's 1831-position model. The record is from RNAcentral.